AAGAAAAGAUACCAUUAUAUUUUAUUUCUCCAAUCUUAGAAAUAUAUUAAAAGAAAAUCAGCUGACACAUGAAGCAUACGCUUCAGCCAAAACAAUUGGGCAUCUACCAACAACAACCAAAACUGGAAACUACAUACAAGAACAAUAGUUCAUCUACAAUCAUGUCACAAAACUUUAUCAACUAUCUUGUGCUGUUAGUUAAGCUUGUUAACUUUAAAGAAACAGAAUGAACUGAACAAUAGUCAACCACUUUUCCUGGGAGUGCUUUAAAUUUUGCUUCGUGAUCAACCACUUUUUUCGAGAGUUCUUGAAUCACAUGAAGGAUCUUACAUUAGAUUCCACGAUUGCUGCAAAAAACAAAAAAAGAAGAAGUACAUAUCUCCGCGAAUGCAAUGGCCCUUGAUGUAAACUUGUAACUAAACGAACAUGCUAAUUUUUUUCUUUUGUGCAGAAAAUGUAGUUAUCUAUCGUAACUAACAUCUUCGUCUCCAAUAUUUUUGGGGCAUUAUGAGUGCAAUAUUGGAAUUACUCUAAUUCAGAACGAGAAAAGAAAUAAAAUUAAAAUGUUUCCGGCAUUUCAUCAAACAGGUAAGGGACACAUUGACUUAGCAAACUUGGUUACUUCUAAUUGUCCUUUGAAAAUGCAGUAAUCUCUUUCAAAUUAAAAUGAUGAAGAAAUCCUUACAGUGAGAAGCCAGAUACAUUAAGAAUGAAGAAAUUUAGUUUAAGAAAUAUCAAAAAUCGAAAUACAAUUGGAAAAUCUCUAACUUUUCCGGUGGUUAUUGAUUCUUUACCUUGUUUGAGGUGUGGAAAAAUAGCUCUAACUUCUCUUUUUGCUCAGGUUUGAAGUCUUUUUUGGCGAAGGUGAAAGACGAUCGGGCGGGAGGGACAAUCUUGGAAAAUUCAGGGGAAAAGGCAUGUGCUGGGCAUGCUCGUUCAUUGCUACCGUUAUUUUUUGUGAUUAAAUUUAACAGAAGAAUGUUUCUUGCAGCUCUUUAAAUAGUACAGGAUAAUUUUUGUUCACCAGGUAAUACAAGGACUUGGUCUAGGACUAUAGUUU
Molecule: long non-coding RNA, 1060 nt
Filed under: Nicotiana tabacum (common tobacco)
Lineage: Eukaryota; Viridiplantae; Streptophyta; Magnoliopsida; Solanales; Solanaceae
Description: long non-coding RNA (NTAB_LNC005525)
Source: RNAcentral